AACGUAGGUGGCAAGCGUUAUCCGGAAUUACUGGGCGUAAAGGGUGUGCAGGCGGGGUGGCAAGUGGUGUAUGAAAUCUCCCAGCUUAACUGGGAUAGGUUAUGCCAGACUGCUUCUCUAGAGGACGAGAGAGGGGCGUGGAAUUCCGGGUGUAGUGGUGAAAUGCGUAGAUAUCUGGAGGAACACCGGUGGCGAAGGCGGCAUCCUGGACCAAUACUGACGCUGAGGAGCGAAAGCCAGGGGAGCAAACGGG
RNAcentral lists this ribosomal RNA (253 nucleotides) under uncultured prokaryote. Its description in RNAcentral is "partial 16S ribosomal RNA". It matches the Rfam family "Bacterial small subunit ribosomal RNA", at positions 524 to 776 of the family's 1533-position model. The record is from RNAcentral.